AUGGCCGCGGUAUUUUGACCGUGCAAAGGUAGCAUAAUCAUUAGUUUUUUAAUUGAAAGCUGGAAUGAAUGGUUGGACAAGAAAAUUUCUGUCUCUAUCUAAAUUUUAGAAUUUUAUUUUUUAGUUAAAAAGCUUAAAUUUUUUUAAGGGACGAGAAGACCCUAUAGAAUUUUAUAUAUUUGUUUGUUUUUAGUUUUUAGAUUUAUUAUUAUAGAAUUUUCUUAAUAUAUUUGGUUGGGGUGAUUGAAAAAUUUAAAUAACUUUUUUUGUUUUGAAUCAUUAAUUUAUGAAUAAUUGAUCCAUUAAUUGUGAUUAUAAGAUUAAAUUACCUUAGGGAUAACAGC
Molecule: ribosomal RNA, 344 nt
Filed under: Colophon westwoodi
Lineage: Eukaryota; Metazoa; Arthropoda; Insecta; Coleoptera; Lucanidae
Description: partial 16S ribosomal RNA
Source: RNAcentral